AGAGUUUGAUUAUGGCUCAGGAUGAACGCUGGCGGCGUGCCUAACACAUGCAAGUCGAACGGAACUAAGCGCUUCGGAGACUUCGGUCAAUGUUUGCUUGGUUUAGUGGCGGACGGGUGAGUAACGCGUGGAUAACCUGCCUCAUACAGGGGGAUAACAGUUAGAAAUGACUGCUAAUACCGCAUAAGCGCACAGUUUCGCAUGGAACAGUGUGAAAAACUCCGGUGGUAUGAGAUGGAUCCGCGUCUGAUUAGCUAGUUGGCGGGGUAACAGCCCACCAAGGCGACGAUCAGUAGCCGGCCUGAGAGGGUGAACGGCCACAUUGGGACCGAGACACGGCCCAAACUCCUACGGGAGGCAGCAGUGGGGGAUAUUGCACAAUGGGGGAAACCCUGAUGCAGCGAACCGCCGCGUGAGUGAAGAAGUAUUUCGGUAUGUAAAGCUCUAUCAGCAGGGAAGAUAAUGACGGUACCUGACUAAGAAGCACCGGCUAAAUACGUGCCAGCAGCGGC
This 512-nucleotide ribosomal RNA is filed under the name uncultured bacterium. RNAcentral's name for it is "bacterial SSU rRNA". It matches the Rfam family "Bacterial small subunit ribosomal RNA", at positions 8 to 518 of the family's 1533-position model. The record is from RNAcentral.